GGGGAAUUUUGGGCAAUGGGCGAAAGCCUGACCCAGCAACGCCGCGUGAGGGAGGAAAUCCUUCGGGAUGUAAACCUCACAAGCAAGGGAAGAGAGCUAUGGGCUGAAUAAUCCCGUAGUACGACGGUACCUUGCGUAAGCCACGGCUAACUACGUGCCAGCAGCCGCGGUAAUACGUAGGUGGCAAGCGUUGUUCGGAAUUACUGGGCGUAAAGGGCGCGCAGGCGGCUCUUCAAGUCAGAUGUGAAAGCCCCGGGCUCAACCUGGGAACUGCAUUUGAGACUGGAGAGCUUGAGUUCGGGAGAGGAUGGUGGAAUUCCCAGUGUAGAGGUGAAAUUCGUAGAUAUUGGGAAGAACACCGGUGGCGAAGGCGGCCAUCUGGACCGAUACUGACGCUGAGGCGCGAAAGCGUGGGGAGCAAAC
Molecule: ribosomal RNA, 423 nt
Filed under: uncultured bacterium
Lineage: Bacteria
Description: bacterial SSU rRNA
Rfam family: Bacterial small subunit ribosomal RNA
Source: RNAcentral